UCAAGAAACUUCCACAAUGGGCGAAAGCCUGAUGGAGCGACGUCGCGUGAUGGACGAAGUGCUUCGGCACGUAAACAUCUUUUAUGUGGGAUGAAAUUAUUGACAGUACCACAUGAAUAAGGGGCUCCUAACUCUGUGCCAGCAGGAGCGGUAAUACAGAGGCCCCAAGCGUUAUCCGGAAUCACUGGGCGUAAAGGGUGUCGAGGCGGUUGUAUUAGUCGUUCGUAAAAUCUACGAGCUUAACUUGUAGGCGGCGAACGAAACGGUACGACUUGAGGUUUGGAGAGGUGCGUGGAACUCACGGUGUAGGGGUGAAAUCCGUUGAUAUCGUGGGGAACACCAAAGGCGAAGGCAGCGCACUGGCCAAAAUCUGACGCUCACACACGAAAGCUAGGGUAGCGAAGAGGAUUAGAUACCCCCGUAGUCCCUGAG
This 432-nucleotide ribosomal RNA is filed under the name uncultured bacterium. RNAcentral describes it as "bacterial SSU rRNA". It matches the Rfam family "Bacterial small subunit ribosomal RNA", at positions 355 to 801 of the family's 1533-position model. The record is from RNAcentral.